AGCUGGAGCUGUGCCAACUGAAGAAGAUUUAUCCACUUGUCACUGCCUAAUGCCUCCCUGCUGGAAGUCAGGAGCAGCUGAGCCAUCAGCUUGCUGGGGACCAUACCUCCAUACCUCCAGCAAAGCAAACCAAAGAAAAGAGAAGUGAGACUGAAGGUGCCAACUUCUUCAGCUAACACAACUGCAAGCUGAGGAUGUAUGAACAAGUCUGACCAAUUCAGGAAUGUACAAGCCAGGUGCAGACUAGCUGUGGCGAAGCUAAGCACAUGUGAUCCCAGGGGAACAUGAGCUCACAGACUGUGCCAUGAUCACUUGCUAGUGUCUAGUUGCUUUGUGCAUGGUCAGGGACAUCAUGUCUGACCCCAGUCAAAUGUCCUGAUGCAAGCCUAGGUCACUUAAACUUACCUGGAACACCGGAAUGCUAACUGGAUUUUAAGCCUGAGGACUGUGAAAUCAUCUAAUUUACUUGAAGUAUAAGA
This is a long non-coding RNA of Oxyura jamaicensis (ruddy duck), 479 nucleotides long. RefSeq lists it as uncharacterized. The transcript is spliced from 3 exons. Lineage: Eukaryota; Metazoa; Chordata; Aves; Anseriformes; Anatidae. The record is from RefSeq and is a predicted model, not a curated record.